UACGUAGGGGGCAAGCGUUGUCCGGAAUCAUUGGGCGUAAAGCGCGUGUAGGCGGUUCGGUAAGUCUGCUGUGAAAGUCCGGGGCUCAACCCUGGGAUGCCGGUGGAUACUGUCGGACUAGAGUACGGAAGAGGCGAGUGGAAUUCCCGGUGUAGCGGUGAAAUGCGCAGAUAUCGGGAGGAACACCAAUUGCGAAGGCAGCUCGCUGGGACGUUACUGACGCUAAGACGCGAAAGCGUGGGGAGCAAACAGG
RNAcentral lists this ribosomal RNA (253 nucleotides) under uncultured bacterium. RNAcentral's name for it is "partial 16S ribosomal RNA". It matches the Rfam family "Bacterial small subunit ribosomal RNA", at positions 524 to 776 of the family's 1533-position model. The record is from RNAcentral.